UUCCUUCUUUUGCUCCUAGCCUUUCCUUUCUCCACCUUUCUUAUCUCCUUGUCUUCCUUAAUUCUAUUCCUAAGCCCUUAUCCAAAAAUCAGACUUGUCUUUGCUAUUUUGGACUUGUCCUAAUAAGGGAAGGAAGAGACUAAUUGAACAAUAUGGGAGACUUAUGUAAGAAAGAAGAGAAAAUUUCUCAGAUGGUUUAGAACCUUGGAGCGACCCC
This 217-nucleotide long non-coding RNA is filed under the name Elaeis guineensis (African oil palm). Its description in RNAcentral is "long non-coding RNA (EGUI_LNC037514)". The record is from RNAcentral. Lineage: Eukaryota; Viridiplantae; Streptophyta; Magnoliopsida; Arecales; Arecaceae.